AGCAGCCACUCAUUAAAAGAGUGCGUAAUAGCUCACUGGUCGAGUGACUCUGCGCCGAAAAUUUAACGGGGCUAAACUAUACACCGAAGCUUGGGAUACAUCUAAUGUAUGGUAGGAGAGCGUUCUGUAUGGGGCGAAGUCGUAGCGAAAGCGGCGGUGGACUAUACAGAAGUGAGAAUGCCGGAAUAAGUAGCGAGAAUUAAGUGAGAAUCUUAAUGGCCGAAAGUCUAAGGUUUUUGGAGGAAGGUUCGUCCGCUCCAAGUAAGUCGGGAGCUAAGGUCAGGCCGAAAGGCGUAGCCGAUGCACAUACGGUUGAUAUUCCGUAACCAUCUGUAAUUUAAGCAAAGGGACACUUCAAAAGGGUGUGACCCGGGCGUUGGUUGACCCGGGCGUAAGGGACCGAAAUUAGAGUAGGGAAGCACACUUAGCUGAAGGCGAGAAAAGCUUUGCGUAUAGAAGCAGAUGCCCGUACCGCAAACCGACACAGGUGGACAGGAAGAGAAUUCUAAGGCCAGCGGGAGAAGGGUAGUUAAGGAACUCGGCAAAUUGACUCCGUAACUUCGGAAUAAGGAGUGCUCGAAAGAGCCGCAGAGAAUAGGCCCAGGCGACUGUUUAGCAAAAACACAGGUCUCUGCCAAAUCGAAAGAUGAAGUAUAGGGGCUGACACCUGCCCGGUGCCGGAAGGUUAAGAGGAGGAGUGAGAGCUCCGAAUUGAAGCCCCGGUAAACGGCGGCCGUAACUAUAACGGUCCUAAGGUAGCGAAAUUCCUUGUCGGGUAAGUUCCGACCCGCACGAAUGGUGUAACGAUCUGGACACUGUCUCAACUACCCACCCGGCGAAAUUGUAGUACCGGUGAAGAUGCCGGUUACCUGCGGCAAGACGGAAAGACCCCAUGGAGCUUUACUGUAGCCUGAUAUUGGGUUUCGGAAAUCUAUGUACAGGAUAGGCGGGAGACUGGGAAACAUGAGCGUCAGCUUGUGUGGAGUCGAUGUUGGGAUACCGCCCUUAGGUUUCUGGAAUUCUAACCUGCGGCCGUGAAUCCGGUCGGGGGACAUUGUCAGGUGGGCAGUUUGACUGGGGCGGUCGCCUCCGAAAAGGUAACGGAGGCGCUCAAAGGUUAGCUCAGCACGGACGGAAACCGUGCCUCUGAGUGUAAACGCAAAAGCUAGCCUAACUGCGAGGGUGACGGCCCGAGCAGUAACGAAAGUUGGAGUUAGUGAUCCGGCGGUAUGUGAAUGGAAAUGC
This 1245-nucleotide ribosomal RNA is filed under the name human gut metagenome. RNAcentral describes it as "bacterial LSU rRNA". It matches the Rfam family "Bacterial large subunit ribosomal RNA", at positions 1111 to 2442 of the family's 2925-position model. The record is from RNAcentral.